This 2327-nucleotide long non-coding RNA is filed under the name Homo sapiens (human). RNAcentral's name for it is "HSALNT0185260". Lineage: Eukaryota; Metazoa; Chordata; Mammalia; Primates; Hominidae. The record is from RNAcentral.
AUUCUCCCUGAAUCUUACCAACAAAACACUCCUGAGGAGAAAGAAAGAGAGGGAGGGAGAGAAAAAGAGAGAGAGAGAAACAAAAAACCAAAGAGAGAGAAAAAAUGAAUUCAUCUAAAUCAUCUGAAACACAAUGCACAGAGAGAGGAUGCUUCUCUUCCCAAAUGUUCUUAUGGACUGUUGCUGGGAUCCCCAUCCUAUUUCUCAGUGCCUGUUUCAUCACCAGAUGUGUUGUGACAUUUCGCAUCUUUCAAACCUGUGAUGAGAAAAAGUUUCAGCUACCUGAGAAUUUCACAGAGCUCUCCUGCUACAAUUAUGGAUCAGGUAUAAUAGUCCCAAAGGUGAACAUCAAAAUUUACAAAGCAACAUUUUCUGGCUUCUAGAUUGACUUUGGGACAGGUGAGAUAUAGCUGGAUUAGGUCUUAUUUUUCAAAAGCAAAAUGUAAAAUCCUAGAAAUUUGGUGAUGCAAUUAGCAUUGGGGCAGAAAGUCUUGGGGACAUUAUAGUAAACUUUUAGAAUAAAUUUGAGGGGUAUGUCUGAACAGUAAAUCUGGAAGUGGAAGGUAUUAUUCCCAGGAGUGUACCUUUUUUUUCAUUCACCUACUUCCAAAAUGAGAUGGAGAAAAAACGUAUGGAGUAGAGAAUUUAUAAAUAUCUCACAAAUAUACUCUCUAUGCUCUUCUAUGUCAUCCUGUUGCAAGUCCUAGCAAAAUGCUACAUGACACUAAAAAAGUGACUUCCUUCUCUGAGCUAUAAUUUUCUCACCAUUAAAUUGAGAGAAGUUAGAAGAAUUAUUUAUAAUAGACCUCAAAGGCAAAAGUUCUGUAAUUCUAAGAAAUCUAACUGUAGGGACCAGCCCCACAGGGUUGGUGGGUCUCUCCCUGUGUCCAGAGACGAGAGCAUGUAGAAAUAAAGACACAAGACAAAGAGAUAAAAGAAAAGGCAGCUGGGCCCAAGGGACCACUACCACCAAUGCGCGGAGACCGGUAGUGGCUCCGAAUGUCUGGCUGCGCUGUUAUUUAUUGGAUACAAGGUGAAAGGGGCAGGGUAGAGAGUGUGAGUCAUCUCCAAUGAUAGGUAAGGUCAUGUGGGUCACGUGUCCACUGGACAGGGGGACCUUCCCUGCCUGGCAGCCGAGGCAGAGAGGGAGAGGAGACAGAGAGAAAGACAGCUUACGCUAUUAUUUCUGCAUAUCAGGGACUAUUAGUACUUUCGCUAAUUUACUACUGCUAUCUAGAAGGCAGAGCCAGGUGUACAGGAUGGAACAUGAAGGCAGACUAGGAGUGUGACCACUGAAGCACAGCAUCACAGGGAGACGGUUAGGCCUCCGGAUAACUGCGGGCAAGCCUGACUAAUGUCAGGCCCUCCACAAGAGGUGGAGGAGCAGAGUCUUCUCUAAACUCCCCCAGGGAAAGGAAGACUCCCUUUUCCUGUCUGCUAAGUAGCGGGUGUUUUCCCUUGACACUUAACGCUACCGCUAGACCACAGUCUGUCUGCCUGGCCACGGGCGUCUUCCCAGACGCUGGCGUCACCGCUAGACCAAGGAGCCCUCUGGUGGCCCUGUCCGGGCAUAACGGAAGGCUCGCACUCUUGUCUUCUGGUCACACCUCACUAUGUCCCCUCAGCUCGUAGCUCUGUACGGCCUGGUUUUUCCUUGGCUAUGAUUAUAGAGCGAGGAUUAUUAUAAUAUUGGAAUAAAAAGUAAUUGCUACAAACUAAUGAUUAAUGAUAUUCAUAUAUAAUCAUAUCUAAGAUCUAUAUCUGGUAUAACUAUUCUUGUUUUAUAUUUUAUUAUACUGGAACAGCUCGUGUCCUCUGUCUCUUGCCUCAGCGCCUGGGUGGCUUGCCGCCCACAUCUAACCCAUCUAUAUACUACAGUAUGGAGAUUUGAUUGAGGAUACAUUGUUUAGGAAUUCCUUUCCUACAAGAAACCUAAAAUGAGAGAGUUUUUUAUUGGACUGUCAGACCAGGUUGUCGAGGGUCAGUGGCAAUGGGUGGACGGCACACCUUUGACAAAGUCUCUGAGCUUCUGGGAUGUAGGGGAGCCCAACAACAUAGCUACCCUGGAGGACUGUGCCACCAUGAGAGACUCUUCAAACCCAAGGCAAAAUUGGAAUGAUGUAACCUGUUUCCUCAAUUAUUUUCGGAUUUGUGAAAUGGUAGGAAUAAAUCCUUUGAACAAAGGAAAAUCUCUUUAAGAACAGAAGGCACAACUCAAAUGUGUAAAGAAGGAAGAGCAAGAACAUGGCCACACCCACCGCCCCACACGAGAAAUUUGUGCGCUGAACUUCAAAGGACUUCAUAAGUAUUUGUUACUCUGAUAUAAA